CCUACGGGUGGCAGCAGUGAGGAAUAUUGGUCAAUGGACGAGAGUCUGAACCAGCCAAGUAGCGUGAAGGAUGACUGCCCUAUGGGUUGUAAACUUCUUUUAUAUGGGAAUAAAAUGUUCCACGGUGGGGAUUUUGUAUGUACCAUAUGAAUAAGGAUCGGCUAACUCCGUGCCAGCAGCCGCGGUAAUACGGAGGAUCCGAGCGUUAUCCGGAUUUAUUGGGUUUAAAGGGAGCGUAGGUGGAUUGUUAAGUCAGUUGUGAAAGUUUGCGGCUCAACCGUAGAAUUGCAGUUGAAACUGGCAGUCUUGAAUACAGUAGAGGUGGGCGGAAUUCGUGGUGUAGCGGUGAAAUGCUUAGAUAUCACGAAGAACUCCGAUUGCGAAGGCAGUUCACUGGACUGCAACUGACACUGAGGCUCGAAAGUGUGGGUAUCAAACAGGAUUAGAUACCCUUGUAGUC
Molecule: ribosomal RNA, 460 nt
Filed under: uncultured bacterium
Lineage: Bacteria
Description: partial 16S ribosomal RNA
Rfam family: Bacterial small subunit ribosomal RNA
Source: RNAcentral